ACGUAGGGUGCGAGCGUUAAUCGGAAUUACUGGGCGUAAAGCGUGCGCAGGCGGCUUUGCAAGACAGAGGUGAAAUCCCCGGGCUCAACCUGGGAACUGCCUUUGUGACUGCAAGGCUAGAGUACGGCAGAGGGGGAUGGAAUUCCGCGUGUAGCAGUGAAAUGCGUAGAUGUGCGGAGGAACACCAAUGGCGAAGGCAAUCCCCUGGGCCUGUACUGACGCUCAUGCACGAAAGCGUGGGGAGCAAACAGGA
RNAcentral lists this ribosomal RNA (253 nucleotides) under uncultured prokaryote. RNAcentral describes it as "partial 16S ribosomal RNA". It matches the Rfam family "Bacterial small subunit ribosomal RNA", at positions 525 to 777 of the family's 1533-position model. The record is from RNAcentral.